AUAACAAGUUAUACAAGGGAUCAUUCUCCUUGCCUCCUAAAAUGUCUGCGCUCAUCCAAGGCAGAUUAUAUGCUAUGGGAGGUCCAUGAAAGAAUCUAUGGAAGCCACUUAGGAGGUAGGUUCCUCUCUUACAAAAUCCUUUGGCAAGGCUACUACUAGCCCACUAUGCAGUAGGAUGCAGGUGCCUUCGUCAGAAAAUACGAUCGGUGUCAGAGGAUCUCCAAUA
RNAcentral lists this long non-coding RNA (226 nucleotides) under Elaeis guineensis (African oil palm). Its description in RNAcentral is "long non-coding RNA (EGUI_LNC002980)". The record is from RNAcentral. Lineage: Eukaryota; Viridiplantae; Streptophyta; Magnoliopsida; Arecales; Arecaceae.